UACGGGGGGGGCAAGCGUUGUUCGGAAUUACUGGGCGUAAAGGGCUCGUAGGCGGCCAACUAAGUCAGACGUGAAAUCCCUCGGCUUAACCGGGGAACUGCGUCUGAUACUGGAUGGCUUGAGUUCGGGAGAGGGAUGCGGAAUUCCAGGUGUAGCGGUGAAAUGCGUAGAUAUCUGGAGGAACACCGGUGGCGAAGGCGGCAUCCUGGACCGACACUGACGCUGAGGAGCGAAAGCCAGGGGAGCAAACGGGG
RNAcentral lists this ribosomal RNA (254 nucleotides) under uncultured bacterium. Its description in RNAcentral is "partial 16S ribosomal RNA". It matches the Rfam family "Bacterial small subunit ribosomal RNA", at positions 524 to 777 of the family's 1533-position model. The record is from RNAcentral.